Molecule: ribosomal RNA, 287 nt
Filed under: uncultured bacterium
Lineage: Bacteria
Description: partial 16S ribosomal RNA
Rfam family: Bacterial small subunit ribosomal RNA
Source: RNAcentral
CCUACGGGACGCAGCAGUGGGGAAUAUUGCGCAAUGGGCGAAAGCCUGACGCAGCGACGCCCCGUGAGGGAUGAAGGUCUUCGGAUCGUAUACCUCUGUCAGCAGGGAAGAACGGUCACUGUGCUAAUCAGCAGUGAAUUGACGGUACCUGCAAAGGAAGCACCGGCUAACUCCGUGCCAGCAGCCGCGGUAAUACGGAGGGUGCGAGCGUUAAUCGGAAUUACUGGGCGUAAAGCGCUCGUAGGCGGUAUGUCAAGUCAAGGGCGAAACCCCGUCGCUCAACGCGG